UACGGAGGGCGCAAGCGUUGCUCGGAAUCACUGGGCGUAAAGCGUACGCAGGCGGGAAGAAUAGUCGGGUGUGAAAGCCCGGGGCUCAACCCCGGAAUUGCACUCGAAACUGUCUUCCUUGAGUACGGGAGAGGGAAGCGGAAUUCCUGGUGUAGAGGUGAAAUUCGUAGAUAUCAGGAGGAACACCGGUGGCGAAGGCGGCUUCCUGGCCCGAUACUGACGCUCAUGUACGAAAGCGUGGGGAGCAAACAGG
This 253-nucleotide unclassified non-coding RNA is filed under the name uncultured Pseudobdellovibrionaceae bacterium. RNAcentral describes it as "uncultured Bdellovibrionaceae bacterium contains 16S-23S intergenic spacer region". It matches the Rfam family "Bacterial small subunit ribosomal RNA", at positions 524 to 776 of the family's 1533-position model. The record is from RNAcentral. Lineage: Bacteria; Pseudomonadati; Bdellovibrionota; Bdellovibrionia; Bdellovibrionales; Pseudobdellovibrionaceae.